CCUACGGGAGGCAGCAGUGGGGGAUAUUGGGCAAUGGGCGCAAGCCUGACGCAGCAACGCCGCGUGAGGGAAGAAGGCUUUCGGGGUGUAAAGUUCUGUUCUCAGGGACGAAGCAAGUGACGGUACCUGAGGAAUAAGCCACGGCUAACUACGUGCCAGCCGCCGCGGUAAUACGGAGGUGGCAAGCGUUAUCCGGAGUUACUGGGUGUAAGGGGCGUGUAGGCGGGACUGCAAGUCAGAUGUGAAAACCACGGGCUCAACCGGUGGCCUGCCUUUGAAACUGUAGUUCUUGAGUACUGGAGAGGCAGACGGAAUUCCUGGUGUAGCGGUGAAAUGCGUAGAUAUUAGGAGGAACACCAGUGGCGAAGGCGGUCUGCUGGACAGCAACUGACGCUGAGGCGCGAAAGCGUGGGGAGCAAACAGGAUUAGAUACCCGGGUAGUC
Molecule: ribosomal RNA, 443 nt
Filed under: uncultured bacterium
Lineage: Bacteria
Description: partial 16S ribosomal RNA
Rfam family: Bacterial small subunit ribosomal RNA
Source: RNAcentral